RNAcentral lists this ribosomal RNA (439 nucleotides) under Hakonboekia strauchii. RNAcentral describes it as "partial 16S ribosomal RNA". It matches the Rfam family "Bacterial large subunit ribosomal RNA", at positions 1797 to 2559 of the family's 2925-position model. Lineage: Eukaryota; Metazoa; Arthropoda; Malacostraca; Amphipoda; Pallaseidae. The record is from RNAcentral.
CGCCUGUUUAUCAAAAACAUUUUUACUUACAAAGAAGAAGUAUAACCUGCCCAGUGAGGGUUAAACGGCUGCGGUAUUUUGACUGUGCUAAGGUAGCAUAAUCAUUUGUCACUUAAUUGGUAGCUGGAAUGAACGGUCGAACUGGUUUAGUAUGUGUGUAGGUUUAAACAGGAAGUUAAAGUCAAGGUAAGAAUUCUUUGAUAUUUUAGGGGACGAUAAGACCCUAUAAGCUUAAUAAAUAUAGUAAGAAUUUUGUGGUUUAAGUUAUUUUGUUUUACUGGGGCGGUACUAGUGGCUAGUCCAUUAGCUAAAUUAGGAUCCUUAAGAUAUAGAAGUUACGGAAAAGUUACUCUAGGGAUAACAGUGCAAUAUUCUUGGAGAGAUCUUAUCGAUAGGUAUGUUUGCAACCUCGAUGUUGAAUUAAAAUUUCUACGGGAGU